CCUAUGGGCGGCAGCAGUGGGGAAUAUUGCACAAUGGGCGCAAGCCUGAUGCAGCCAUGCCGCGUGUGUGAAGAAGGCCUUCGGGUUGUAAAGCACUUUCAGCGGGGAGGAAGGCGGUGAGGUUAAUAACCUCAUCGAUUGACGUUACCCGCAGAAGAAGCACCGGCUAACUCCGUGCCAGCAGCCGCGGUAAUACGGAGGGUGCAAGCGUUAAUCGGAAUUACUGGGCGUAAAGCGCACGCAGGCGGUCUGUCAAGUCGGAUGUGAAAUCCCCGGGCUCAACCUGGGAACUGCAUUUCGAAACUGGCAGGCUAGAGUCUUGUAGAGGGGGGUAGAAUUCCAGGUGUAGCGGUGAAAUGCGUAGAGAUCUGGAGGAAUACCGGUGGCGAAGGCGGCCCCCUGGACAAAGACUGACGCUCAGGUGCGAAAGCGUGGGGAGCAAACAGGAUUAGAUACCCCAGUAGUC
Molecule: ribosomal RNA, 466 nt
Filed under: uncultured Klebsiella sp.
Lineage: Bacteria; Pseudomonadati; Pseudomonadota; Gammaproteobacteria; Enterobacterales; Enterobacteriaceae
Description: bacterial SSU rRNA
Rfam family: Bacterial small subunit ribosomal RNA
Source: RNAcentral